AGUGAACGCUGGCGGUAGGCCUAACACAUGCAAGUCGAACGGCAGCACAGUAAGAGCUUGCUCUUACGGGUGGCGAGUGGCGGACGGGUGAGGAAUACAUCGGAAUCUACUUUUUCGUGGGGGAUAACGUAGGGAAACUUACGCUAAUACCGCAUACAACCUACGGGUGAAAGCAGGGGAUCUUCGGACCUUGCGCGAUUGAAUGAGCCGAUGUCGGAUUAGCUAGUUGGCGGGGUAAAGGCCCACCAAGGCGACGAUCCGUAGCUGGUCUGAGAGGAUGAUCAGCCACACUGGAACUGGGACACGGUCCAGACUCCUACGGGAGGCAGCAGUGGGGAAUAUUGGACAAUGGGCGCAAGCCUGAUCCAGCCAUACCGCGUGGGUGAAGAAGGCCUUCGGGUUGUAAAGCCCUUUUGUUGGGAAAGAAAAGCAGCAGGUUAAUACCCCGCUGUUCUGACGGUACCCAAAGAAUAAGCACCGGCUAACUUCGUG
RNAcentral lists this ribosomal RNA (492 nucleotides) under uncultured bacterium. RNAcentral describes it as "partial 16S ribosomal RNA". It matches the Rfam family "Bacterial small subunit ribosomal RNA", at positions 29 to 507 of the family's 1533-position model. The record is from RNAcentral.